UACGUAGGUGGGAAGCGUUAUCCGGAAUUACUGGGCGUAAAGCGCACGCAGGCGGUCUUUUAAGUUUGACGUGAAAGCUCCCGGCUUAACUGGGAGAGGUCGUUGAAGACUGGAAGACUUGAGGCAAUGAGAGGGGUGUAGAAUUCCCGGUGUAGUGGUGGAAUGCGUAGAUAUCGGGGGGAAUACCAGUGGCGAAAGCGGCACCCUAGCGUUAGCCUGACGCUCAUGUGCGAAAGCGUGGGGAGCGAACGGG
RNAcentral lists this ribosomal RNA (253 nucleotides) under uncultured bacterium. Its description in RNAcentral is "partial 16S ribosomal RNA". It matches the Rfam family "Bacterial small subunit ribosomal RNA", at positions 524 to 776 of the family's 1533-position model. The record is from RNAcentral.